This 963-nucleotide ribosomal RNA is filed under the name Citrobacter freundii. RNAcentral's name for it is "bacterial SSU rRNA". It matches the Rfam family "Bacterial small subunit ribosomal RNA", at positions 43 to 1004 of the family's 1533-position model. Lineage: Bacteria; Pseudomonadati; Pseudomonadota; Gammaproteobacteria; Enterobacterales; Enterobacteriaceae. The record is from RNAcentral.
CUCGCAGCUACCAUGCAGUCGACGGUAGCACAGAGGAGCUUGCUCCUUGGAUGACGAGUGGCGGACGGGUGAGUAAUGUCUGGGAAACUGCCCGAUGGAGGGGGAUAACUACUGGAAACGGUAGCUAAUACCGCAUAACGUCGCAAGACCAAAGAGGGGGACCUUCGGGCCUCUUGCCAUCGGAUGUGCCCAGAUGGGAUUAGCUAGUAGGUGGGGUAACGGCUCACCUAGGCGACGAUCCCUAGCUGGUCUGAGAGGAUGACCAGCCACACUGGAACUGAGACACGAUCCAAACUAAUACGGGAGGCAGCAGUGGGGAAUAUUGCACAAUGGGCGCAAGCCUGAUGCAGCCAUGCCGCGUGUAUGAAGAAGGCCUUCGGGUUGUAAAGUACUUUCAGCGAGGAGGAAGGCAUUGUGGUUAAUAACCGCAGUGAUUGACGUUACUCGCAGAAGAAGCACCGGCUAACUCCGUGCCAGCAGCCGCGGUAAUACGGAGGGUGCAAGCGUUAAUCGGAAUUACUGGGCGUAAAGCGCACGCAGGCGGUCUGUCAAGUCGGAUGUGAAAUCCCCGGGCUCAACCUGUGAACUGCAUCCGAUACUGGCAGGCUAGAGUCUUGUAGAGGGGGGUAGAAUUCCAGGUGUAGCGGUGAAAUGCGUAGAGAUCUGGAGGAAUACCGGUGGCGAAGGCUGCCCCCUGGACAAAGACUGACGCUCAGGUGCGAAAGCGUGUGGAGCAAACAGGAUUAGAUACCCUGUAGUCCACGCCGUAAACGAUGUCGACUUGGAGGUUGUGCCCGUUGAGCGUGCCUUCAGGAGCUAACGCGUUAAGUCGACCGCCUGAGAGUACGGCUAGUAAAGUUAAAACUCAAUGAAUUGACGGGGGCCCGCACAGCGUGUAGCAUGUGUUUAAUUCGAUGCACGCGAAGAACCUACCUACUCUUGACAUCCAGCGAACUUAGCAGA